GGAGAGAUACCCAAGUGGCUGAAGGGGGCGGUUUGCUAAACCGUUAGUGGUAGAAAUGCCAGCGAGGGUUCGAAUCCCUCUCUCUCCGCCA
Molecule: transfer RNA, 91 nt
Filed under: Candidatus Margulisiibacteriota bacterium
Lineage: Bacteria; Bacillati; Candidatus Margulisiibacteriota
Description: tRNA-Ser
Rfam family: tRNA
About the family: Transfer RNA (tRNA) molecules are approximately 80 nucleotides in length. Their secondary structure includes four short double-helical elements and three loops (D, anti-codon, and T loops). Further hydrogen bonds mediate the characteristic L-shaped molecular structure. tRNAs have two regions of fundamental functional importance: the anti-codon, which is responsible for specific mRNA codon recognition, and the 3' end, to which the tRNAs corresponding amino acid is attached (by aminoacyl-tRNA synthetases). tRNAs cope with the degeneracy of the genetic code in two manners: having more than one tRNA (with a specific anti-codon) for a particular amino acid; and 'wobble' base-pairing, i.e. permitting non-standard base-pairing at the 3rd anti-codon position.
Source: RNAcentral